RNAcentral lists this ribosomal RNA (465 nucleotides) under Vreelandella stevensii. Its description in RNAcentral is "partial 16S ribosomal RNA". It matches the Rfam family "Bacterial small subunit ribosomal RNA", at positions 338 to 795 of the family's 1533-position model. The record is from RNAcentral. Lineage: Bacteria; Pseudomonadati; Pseudomonadota; Gammaproteobacteria; Oceanospirillales; Halomonadaceae.
CCUACGGGAGGCAGCAGUGGGGAAUAUUGGACAAUGGGGGCAACCCUGAUCCAGCCAUGCCGCGUGUGUGAAGAAGGCCCUCGGGUUGUAAAGCACUUUCAGUGAGGAAGAACGCCUGGUGGUUAAUACCCAUCAGGAAAGACAUCACUCACAGAAGAAGCACCGGCUAACUCCGUGCCAGCAGCCGCGGUAAUACGGAGGGUGCGAGCGUUAAUCGGAAUUACUGGGCGUAAAGCGCGCGUAGGUGGCUUGAUAAGCCGGUUGUGAAAGCCCCGGGCUCAACCUGGGAACGGCAUCCGGAACUGUCAAGCUAGAGUGCAGGAGAGGAAGGUAGAAUUGCCGGUGUAGCGGUGAAAUGCGUAGAGAUCGGGAGGAAUACCAGUGGCGAAGGCGGCCUUCUGGACUGACACUGACACUGAGGUGCGAAAGCGUGGGUAGCAAACAGGAUUAGAUACCCGAGUAGUC